This is a long non-coding RNA of Pezoporus flaviventris, 1429 nucleotides long. RefSeq lists it as uncharacterized. The transcript is spliced from 3 exons. The record is from RefSeq and is a predicted model, not a curated record. Lineage: Eukaryota; Metazoa; Chordata; Aves; Psittaciformes; Psittacidae.
CCUUUUCCACUACAACCAACCACUGAAAUGAUCAUCCAUGGGUUUCUCCUAGGACAGAAUUGACAGUUUAUGUGAUCACAGGGGAAAACAUUUACACCAGAACAAGUGCUCAGUAAUGGUAUUAAAUGGCACAUGAAGACUCCAAAGAAAACAGAAUGGGACAUGGUCUUUGGUGAGGUAGGGACAUGUGGAGAGCAAUACUGUAAUGAAGAAGGGAUACCCUGCUUGGCAUGUUUUCAAGCCUGAUGAAAGAAACACCCACAAAUCAUCAGACUGCAUGCUGUAAGUAAGAAGUGGAAUAAUUACUAAAGACACCAGAGCAAAUGGAAAAGCAAACAAAAUGUAUUAUGGCAUGAGAUUUCAACUGUAAGCAUCCUAGUUACUAACACACAUUAUACCCAUUCCUCAUCUGAAAAAUGUUUUUGUGUGUGUACUAGGGUUUACUUUAUGUUUAAAUAAAUGUAUCACUUUGCACUGUUUUCUUGAGCUUUUUCUAGAUUCUGUUUUUAUACGUAACUGAACACAUGCAGAGUGGUAAGGAAACCAUUUUAGCUAGUGGGUUUAUAGCCACACUAGAGGUCCAGUUCCAAUGAGAAGCUUCAGACAUUUUGCAAUCAGGAGACUUUCAAAGAUAACAAACUCCUAAAAAAGUUUGGGGAAACUGGAUAGCCAGGAGAAGAAGCAACUCUACUCAUGUGGUUCGGAAGGUGAUCAGGUGAGAACCUACACCAAAUUUGUCCAUUGCUUUCAUAGGAACAGAAGGUUCCAGGUCUGUGUUUUCCUAUGACUUCGUCUUAGAAUCAUAGAAUAGUUUGGUUUGAAAGGGACCUUCAAAGUGAUCUGGUCCAACCCUCCUGCAACAAACAGGAACAACUCCAUCUAGAUCAGGUUGCCCAGAACCACAUCCAGCCUGGCCUUAAAUGUCCCCAUGGAUGGGGUACCCACCACCUCUCGGCAACCUGCUCCAGAAUUUUUACCACCCUCAUUGUAAACAAUCUCUUCCUUAUGUCCAGCCUGAAUCUCCCCUCUUUUAGUUUAAAACCACCACCGCUCAUCCUAUCACAACUGGUCCUGCUAAAAAGUAUCUCCCCAUCUUUCUUAUAGGCCUCUUAAGUACUGAAAGGCUCCAAUAAGGUCUUCAUGGAGUCUUCUCCAGGCUGAACAACCCCAGCUAUCUCAGCCUGUCUUCAUAGGAGAGGUGCUCCAGCCCUCAGAUCACUUUUGUGGCCCUCCCCUGUACCCUCUCCAACAGGUCUGCGUCUUUUCUUCUCAGAGAGUAUUCCCAGCGUUUUUCAUGUGCCGAUCUCUAACUAUUUUUCACAGGAACUGUAAUCUUGCAUACUGAAUUUACAUGUACUGAAAAUCAGUUUGCUUUUCCUGGUUACGUUUUGGCUGCACCAUGACAUUAAACAGCUUGGGAGUUGUUCUC